CAUAUAUGGGGGAAAUGCAGACACAUGUCUACUCACCCCAGAUAUGAAACUGACAACAGACCAAAAUAAGGAUACCAACAUGGUCAACUUGGCAACUAGUUAAAAAUUAACAGACCUGCAAGUCACUGGGAAUAGAGCCCUGCAUACUCUGUGCCUUAACACAAUAAAGCUGCAAGUGUCAAAUGGUGGAAGACGACAAAGGAAGCAUCCCAGCCUCCUAGUUGUGACCCCUUGAUAUUACUUCUUAUUUUAUAAUAAGGUCUGAACUGCAUCUCUGGCCCUGCAUGGAGACGUGACAUUCUAAACUGCUGGGAAGAUUAUAAGAUUACUGUGUAGUGGAAAGCUCUGUGGUAAAGAACAAAGACACACCAUCAUUUUCGCUUAGGAGCUAAUCCAAAUGGUCCUGUCAAUCACCGGAACAGGAAACUGACCCUCAGCCAAGCUAUCUCUUCUGGGAAAUUGGAACACUAUAAAGCUACCUAACAUGGAGGAUGCUAUAGUAGUUCCUUUAGGCAUUGUCUAUACUUACCCCUCAAAAUUUUUUCCUAUACAAUGGUCUCACUGGCAUUCCAUCUUAUGAAGCUGCCUAAAUCAGUUUAGGUAUUAGAAAUUGAAAGUUCCAAAUUUGGGCCAGCAAUGUAUAUUUAGGCUAGUUUUGCAUUGAAAGGUGAAGGAGAGUUACCAGUUUCAAUUCUCCUAAUUGGAGCUCCUUUAAGUUAACCCUCAAACAGGCCAAAGGAGUGUCUUUUGGUUCAGAAAUUUUGGACCCCAUGUUGAAGCUGAGGACCAAGGUACAAGCAAGGAUCAAUGUCCAGUUAUGCAGAGUGUGCUCCACAAAUGAAAAUGACCAGAUCCUCCUGGAAUGCAAAGUGGCACCUUCAGCCUGUACAAUUUCAAGGUUAAAGCUUGAGGAGGGGUGCAAUGAAUGUGUGGUCUCUCUGCCAGUGGAAAAAUCUCCUGUACCUUCAACAUAGUGGGCGAUACAAAAGCUCUAUUGACCCUGAAACCUGUUAUUAGUAGUCUCAUUGACUCAUACAUAAACUAGAGCUGUGUUUAUUCAUGGACAGUAGGUAGUUUGUAAGAAAUACAUGGAUUAAAAUGUUAACUGGGUUGAUUUAUGGCAUUAGAAUCAUCAAGAGCUUGUUCUAUAUCAUCAGUGAUGAUGAGUUGAGUAAAGGAAGCUGGUUUCCAUGGCUUAUGGAUCCCAAGGUAAGCAGAUGCAAAGAAAAAUAAAUCAGAUUGGUCCUCUCAAAGCUCUCUUUCAUGAACACUUAAAGCAGAGAGACAUCCCUAGUGUGUUAGCAAAGCUGACCUGUUCAGGUGUAUGGUUAGUGGCUCUCUCUUGAUUUCUGAGAUCAAGAAAACAAUACAGUUUUGGCAUAGUGAUUGAAGUGGGGCUUCAAUAUGAGAGACAUUUUGUCUUGGAAUAUUGGGCCUAGAGUAGGAGCUCAGUUCAUUGCCAGUGACCUUAGUAACUGUUAUUUAGAGGUAGUCAAUAAGAACUGUAUAUUGUAAGAGGAAUUAAAAAAUUAAAAAAAAAAACAUUUUAAUGAGACAAAGGUUAGAGAGUACCAAAUUCUCCUUGAAUCCCAGUUUAAAUCAUCAAAACCCUUUUUUCCUUUAAUUCUUAUUAAGCUGUUCUUCAUGCUACUUAUUUAUUCUGGGUUGAAAGAUUAGUAUCUGAGCUGUGUCUCUGACCUUGAGUGGAGACAAGACUUUUAUCAAAUGUCCUUAAAAUAAUAAUUAUUACUAUUAUUAUCAUUAUUAUAUUAUUACUUUGUUUAGUGAGGCUUAGGUCUAGACCCAAAGGAAAUCUAAGAAUAUGUGGUAUUCAUUAAGAUAUGGGGGAAAACUCUACCUUAUCAUCAUGAGUUGACAGACUUCAAUAAGACAUUUGAAAGUAUUAUGGGUGCCACAUCAAAUUUGAGAGUCAGGUAUUAAUACUAGGUAAACACUGAAGAUACGGUUCUUACCAAAAAUUGCAUCAUCUCUAAAGGAGUCACAUGGUUGUCUGGACAGAACUGCAUUCUAGUUCCUGCUUCUCUGAGGACUUUAAUUUUAGUGUUUUAUUGCACAAGAAUAGCUAGUUUUCUCUUGAACAUUUGCUGUGGAGUUUUCCUUUGUUGUGUAAAUUUAAUCCUAUUUAAAAAGUCUUUGACUUCAAGGUGUUUCUACAGAAAAGAGUGAAUUCCUCAGAAGCGGGCCGCUCAACUAACAGAUAAUCUAAUCCAGGUUUUUUGCACUAGCAAUACAAUGGUGAGAAAAUAUUCAGGAAAAUUCUCAAGGUUUUAAAACUUAUAACACAGUGUGGAUUUCCCUCUGUGGGAGUCAACCUAAAACUGUGUGUUUUUGCAGGCUUGACUACAGACAGUUGCAAAGGCUAGCAGACCACACAGGGAGAAAACUGCCUUCCUUGUUACAGUGACACUGGAGGCCCAUUAAGAGAAAGCUAUUUCCUCUUGGACUAGAGAAAGGAAUCUACCUCUAGUCUGGGUGGAGACCUGACAUUCCAAGUUGCAGGAAACAGAGUUAAUCCCCUUGGGCUAGUCAAUUACACAGCUAAGGAACCACCCCUUAGGAAGGCCUUAAGCCAUGCUAAAGAAACAAGGGGAACGAUUAUCCUUUAAUGAGAUAAUGUACUUUCCAUUCCAGAAACCCUGCCUUCAGUAGAGUAAUUGAAAGGAAGUCUUGAGAUGCGGUUAAACUUGCCUGCCUUUUGGUGAUCUAAGAAAGGUGUGACUUUUCCUCUUGCUUUACCAGUGUCUCUUUCUUUCAGAUGCUGGUGAGGGCCAGGGUAUGC
Molecule: long non-coding RNA, 2800 nt
Organism: Mus musculus (house mouse)
Lineage: Eukaryota; Metazoa; Chordata; Mammalia; Rodentia; Muridae
Product: predicted gene, 40300
Exons: 3
Source: RefSeq, a predicted model, not a curated record